RNAcentral lists this ribosomal RNA (429 nucleotides) under Bacteroidota bacterium. RNAcentral describes it as "Bacteroidetes bacterium partial 16S ribosomal RNA". It matches the Rfam family "Bacterial small subunit ribosomal RNA", at positions 355 to 776 of the family's 1533-position model. Lineage: Bacteria; Pseudomonadati; Bacteroidota. The record is from RNAcentral.
UAGGGAAUCUUCCGCAAUGGACGCAAGUCUGACGGAGCAACGCCGCGUGAGUGAAGAAGGAUUUCGGUUCGUAAAACUCUGUUGUUAGAGAAGAACAGCGCAUAGAGUAACUGUUAUGCGUGUGACGGUAUCUAACCAGAAAGCCACGGCUAACUACGUGCCAGCAGCCGCGGUAAUACGUAGGUGGCAAGCGUUGUCCGGAUUUAUUGGGCGUAAAGCGAGCGCAGGCGGUCAAUUAAGUCUGAUGUGAAAGCCCCCGGCUCAACCGGGGGGGUUCAUUGGAAACUGGUUGACUUGAGUGCAGAAGAGGAGAGUGGAAUUCCAUGUGUAGCGGUGAAAUGCGUAGAUAUAUGGAGGAACACCAGUGGCGAAGACGACUCUCUGGUCUGUAACAGACGCUGAGGCUCGAAAGCGUGGGUAGCAAACAGG